GCUAUCCGGGUUUCUCAUGCGCGUGAGCUUGGGAUCUAACAGCCUGCUCUGUCGAGGUCACGCGCGCAUUGAUAAGGAACCACAGCCAGGGUUAUAUGAUCAACAUAAACAUGAAUACAUAAUCCAGUCGCGUCAGGCAAGCCCAUUUGGUUGCACCUGCGCUGCCCCAUCCGAAGGCUGAACGUUUUGUGUGUAUGCCGACUGCCUGUAGGUUACGGUGCUAAUGAGCCUAUCUUGUCUCCUCUGAACAAUCUGUGCCGGAGUUGGAAUAUAUUUCCUGUGGUUCAUCAGAAGAACUGGCAAGCAAACAAGGCUGAUAGAUGUAGUUCAGACUUGUGAGGAUUUCCUGUUGCAAAAGUUUGGCAUUCACUGACGUUUCCUGGUGGUGUAGAAAGGCAGAGGAGUAAUUGGUUGCCGUAAUAGUUUGGCCUGAAGAUUCUUCCUGUGGAUCCAGCAGAUGGUGAUUUGAAUUAUGUGUCCUGCAAGGUGAAACCCAUAAAUCAGACCUGAUCAGAGGUGAAAAUCUAAGUGAUCGUUAAUGUUCUGAACCGAAGGUGCCAAACUUCGUUUCAUCUCUUCAAGAUUUGGACAGGACGAAGAUACUUUAUCUUCUUUAGAAUAAAGAAAUAGUGGAAGCAGAAACUUUUGAACUGUAUUCUUCAGAAACUCCCAGGAGGUGCAAUGAGUGCACUUCCUCUUUCAAGACUGUUAUGAAAAGCCGAAGUGUUCUGGAGGGGGUACAGAUUGCCUCUGAAGGCUGGCUCUAUGAUGCUUAUUUCAGUGGGAUGCUGCGUCGUCACACCCAGCCUGUUACCUCUCAGACAGAAACUGAUGUUUUAAAUACGAUCGUGGAGCUGGGUACCUUCUGGAGUAGCCAGGCUGGCUGCACCCUGGGUGAAUACCGAAGCUGCGCACAGUCUCCGAGGGAUCUAGAACUGGAAUGAUCCAGAAAAACCCACAGCUCUGGGAUUCAUCGGGAAGUGUCACAUCUCUUCCAUCCCCCAGCUAACUAAAGCUCCAGCUAAACCACGAAAGCAGGUCUUUCCUAAUCAACUGCCUCUGUGUCAUACGAUUGUUCAGUAAUCCGUGAUGUACGUGUUUGAGGAGACUGAGGAAAGGGCUUUUCUGCUAAUAAUUCAGUUUCUUUUCUUUGAACAACCAUAUCUUCCCCAAAUUCAUGCUUUGAUGUGGAUAGUAGAAAUGAAAUAAAUGUGGUAGAGAUAUUCUCUUUUUUAUCAAGUCAAUGUUCACUGGAUAUUUCUAAAAGUCAAAUAUUGUUUUAAAAAAUAUUUGUAAAUAGCAGUCACUACCUAGGAUUUUAUUGCUUUGGAUACUUAGUAAGUAAGUUUCAAUUAAUAUUUGUGCUUGUGCCUUGAGGGGUGAGCUGCAUAUAAGACCCUAAAAAUUAAGAAAAAAACCCCAAAACACAAGGGAUUUGCCAGGCAAAUGAUUUGGAGGAGGAAAAGAAAAACUGUCACACAACACAACUGUCACACGUUUUUUUCCCACCACCCUCUAUCUUCUUUGGUUAUUCAGUAUGUAAGAAGAGUUUUCCUUUCCCAAAUGCUUACUAAACUUCCCUACAAGACUAGUACCUGCAAAGGACACCACUUUUGCCUCUUUAUUAAAAAGACCCAGAGAAAAUGUGUGUGCGGGGAGGAGGGUGAGACUUUCUUUAAUAUUCUUUGCACUCUCAGCUAGUCUGCAGUUGCCAGUUGCAUUACUGACAUUUAUUCAUUAAGUUUUGCCACAUGAAUUCUUUCCCUCAGCCUUGAAGGUCACCAACUGUGAUUUGCUAGGUUUGAGAAAAAGUCGCAAUCAAAUACUGAGGCCACAGACGGAUGCCCACCGGAGAAAUGGCAGUGAUGGUGUAAGGCUUUACAGCUUUCACCGCAGGAAUAGUCUAUGCAAGCGCUUCUUCUCUCCAUCGCUGUCAAAGCAACUGGUUUAGUUUGAAGUGCCAGUGCAGGGCAGAUGGAAGAAGUAUGUAACUUCAUGACUGCCCCAGCCAUUUCUGCAAGAAGCGUUUGACUACAGCCUGCGUAGUUCUUAUUCUAGUUAUUUGCCUUUGUUUCACAUUGUUGCAGCCAGAAGAUUGUUAAGUGCCUUUUUAGGACAGGUUUGAAUUCAGUGAGACUACUUACAUAAGUAGCCGUUCACCAAUUUGAGCAAUAUGACCCUUGGUUUCCAUUUCUAGGACACGUCGUUCAAGAAAGUUGGGCCUGUUAUGUCAAUAACCUCGUGGCUGCUACAUCUCAGCCCUGGUCCCGCAGAGUCUGCCGACGAGCUUCAGCACAAUCCCCAUUAAAGUUGUUAUUAUAAACUGAUUAAAUCAUGGCUUGUGGUGGA
Grus americana (Whooping crane) is the source of this 2349-nucleotide long non-coding RNA. RefSeq lists it as uncharacterized. The record is from RefSeq and is a predicted model, not a curated record. The transcript has 2 exons. NCBI's taxonomy places the organism in Eukaryota, Metazoa, Chordata, Aves, Gruiformes, Gruidae.